This 318-nucleotide long non-coding RNA is filed under the name Physcomitrium patens. RNAcentral describes it as "long non-coding RNA (PPAT_LNC007831)". The record is from RNAcentral. Lineage: Eukaryota; Viridiplantae; Streptophyta; Bryopsida; Funariales; Funariaceae.
GAAGUUAAUUAAGGUGCCAUCGCUGUGAUAGUGUAAGUCGGGAUAAGCUUGAUGCUACCUCUUUUCUUUUGUUUGUUAUUUUCUUUAAAUAAGAUGAUUGAGAGUUUUUAAAUAUUAUGAGGUGAAUCAUAGAAUGGAAAUAUGAUUGAUAUUAUUUGAGAAGGAGAAAGAUUGAAUGCUAAAAUUUGAUUGUAGUUCAGCAGAGAGAAUGAGUCUAAAUUUGUGUGAAACAUCGUAAUGUGAAUGGUAGUUCUAUGUGAAGAAUUCCAGUGAUUGGAAUGAAGGUAAUUGUGUACUGAAAGCUAUGAGGGCACAGUA